Molecule: ribosomal RNA, 497 nt
Filed under: uncultured bacterium
Lineage: Bacteria
Description: partial 16S ribosomal RNA
Rfam family: Bacterial small subunit ribosomal RNA
Source: RNAcentral
GAUGAACGCUGGCGGCGUGCCUAAUACAUGCGAGUCGAGCGAACGGACGAGAAGCUUGCUUCUCUGAUGUUAGCGGCGGACGGGUGAGUAACACGUGGAUAACCUACCUAUAAGACUGGGAUAACUUCGGGAAACCGGAGCUAAUACCGGAUAAUAUUUUGAACUGCAUGGUUCAAAAGUGAAAGACGGUCUUGCUGUCACUUAUAGAUGGAUCCGCGCUGCAUUAGCUAGUUGGUAAGGUAACGGCUUACCAAGGCAACGAUGCAUAGCCGACCUGAGAGGGUGAUCGGCCACACUGGAACUGAGACACGGUCCAGACUCCUACGGGAGGCAGCAGUAGGGAAUCUUCCGCAAUGGGCGAAAGCCUGACGGAGCAACGCCGCGUGAGUGAUGAAGGUCUUCGGAUCGUAAAACUCUGUUAUUAGGGAAGAACAUAUGUGUAAGUAACUGUGCACAUCUUGACGGUACCUAAUCAGAAAGCCACGGCUAACUACGUG